GCGGAGGAAAAGAAACCAACAGGGAUUGCCCUAGUAACGGCGAGUGAAGCGGCAACAGCUCAAAUUUGAAAUCUGGCUCUCUUUGGGGGUCCGAGUUGUAAUUUGCAGAGGAUGCUUUGGCAUUGGCGGCGGUCUAAGUUCCUUGGAACAGGACAUCGCAGAGGGUGAGAAUCCCGUACGUGGGCGCCUGCCUUUGCCGUGUAAAGCUCCUUCGACGAGUCGAGUUGUUUGGGAAUGCAGCUCUAAAUGGGAGGUAAAUUUCUUCUAAAGCUAAAUACCGGCCAGAGACCGAUAGCGCACAAGUAGAGUGAUCGAAAGAUGAAAAGUACUUUGGAAAGAGAGUCAAAAAGCACGUGAAAUUGUUGAAAGGGAAGCGCUUGCAGCCAGACUUGCCCGCAGUUGCUCACCUAGGCUUUGGCCUGGGGCACUCUUCUGCGGGCAGGCCAGCAUCAGUUUGGGCGGUCGGACAAAGGCCUCUGUCAAGUAUCUCCCUUCGGGGUGACCUUAUAGGGGAGGCGUAAUGCGACCAGCCCGGACUGAGGUCCGCGCAUCUGCUAGGAUGCUGGCGUAAUGGCUGUAAGCGGCCCGUCUUGAAACACGGACCAAGGAGUCUAACAUCUAUGCGAGUGUUUGGGUGUCAAGCCCGGGCGCGCAAUGAAAGUGAACGGAGGUGGGAACCCUUUGGGUGCACCAUCGACCGAUCCUGAUGUCUUCGGAUGGAUUUGAGUAAGAGCAUAGCUGUUGGGACCCGAAAGAUGGUGAACUAUGCUUGAAUAGGGUGAAGCCAGAGGAAACUCUGGUGGAGGCUCGCAGCGGUUCUGACGUGCAAAUCGAUCGUCAAAUUUGG
RNAcentral lists this small RNA (847 nucleotides) under Paraconiothyrium cyclothyrioides. Its description in RNAcentral is "eukaryotic LSU rRNA". It matches the Rfam family "Eukaryotic large subunit ribosomal RNA", at positions 50 to 914 of the family's 3401-position model. Lineage: Eukaryota; Fungi; Ascomycota; Dothideomycetes; Pleosporales; Didymosphaeriaceae. The record is from RNAcentral.